UUGAAAUAUAUAUAAUUUACUAGAAAAAUUCAUUUUUAAACAAAAUCAAAAUCCAUAAUAGGUGUAAUAUCCAUAAAAGCAAAACAUUUAACAAUAUCUGCCAGUGAAUUGGAACACAUAAGUUUCCAAAGUAUACAAAAAUAAAAUAUUUCUAGUUUCAUCAUGAAUCAACUAAUACUCGUAAGUAAGAUCUUCAUCACUUUGGUUGCCUACUUCAAGUUCUCCACCUACAAAUAAUCAAAAAACAAACAAUUUAGCAAAAGUUCUAUAAAAGGAUUUCAUUUAAAGAUAUGUAUAUUAAUGUCAUGACACAUGGUAAGACUAAACAAAAUGACAAAUACACAAGGCCAAACCCAUAUGCGGCCCCUCUAACUUGGCGCCAAAAUUCAUAUGGACACUUCAACUUAGCUAUGUUUCAUUUAAACACUCCAACUAUGUUUCAACUGUUCCACUUAAACACAAUUUACAAACUUAAGUCCUUGUAACUUAUACAUCCAACAAAAAUUUGCAACUGUUUUAUCUAAACACCUAUCCUAGAAAUUGAUAUAAAGAAGCCACAUACAGGAUGCUCUUCUCAAUCAUCAGACCUACACCCUCGACUCAGUCGACCUCUCACCUGACUUCUUUAAGGUACCCAAUAUACCAUCAAUCGACUUAUCUUUAGUAUCCACAGGUUGGUAAGUUACAAAUGAAUAAGUCUUCUGCCUCCUCCCAGUGGCAGAAUUUUCUAUUUUGUCAGCUGAUAUUGAAGUAUCUGAUUUUGAACCAUUGGUUGAAGAUUCUACCAUGCCAUCAAAAUUUACAAACUUACAUACUACAAUUACAUCCCCAUGCAACAACAAGAACCCCUUUUAGUUCUAAGCUUCACAUUAACAAUAUUUAAACCAGCUUUAGAAACAACAAAUUAUAGGAAUAGCAGAAAAUUCCAAUGUCAACAUCAUUUAACCAGCAUAAGAAACCAGCAAAGACAACAUUAGUUUCUGCGACCAGUAAACCAAGAAAACCUGGUUAUGAACCAGAAUUUACAAUUACAACUAGAAAUUCAACAACAACAUAAAAAACCAGUGACAUCCUACAAGUAAGGAAAAUGAAACUAACAAUGUAUGAACCGAAAAAAAUAGAUGGAAGAAAGUAAUAGCAAUAGCAACAAGCAGUAACAAUGACAAAGUACUAGAAAACCGAUGCGGAAGAUAAUAUGAAAACAUCCAUAAUACUAGUAAUCUAAGAACAACAAUUAAAUUCUGAUGCCUUUAUAAAUCCAAUGUUGGACUGGUUUCACCUAUAAUAGUCUACUAAACCUUGUCAUAUCAUGUCAACUGUCAAUAUAUGCACAUAAGUGGGAAAAAAGUUGAAGAAACAGAAAAGAAAAUGACAGACAAAAGUCAUCAACAACAUUGCAUUCAAAUUGACUUCUCUAGCAGUAAGAAUACUAAACUGCAUCCCUCAAGAAUAGCAACAAGUAUAUGAUACAAUGUGACUACACUUCAGAACAUAAAAGGUGACAUAGUGCAACAUUAAAUAAUGAAGUACAUAUACCUCAACUACCCAAAAAAUAUUCUGUUGAUCUAAGGAACCACAUAAAAUCCACAACCCAUAUCUUUAAUCAAGAAAAUGACAGAUCAAGCAGUUUCUACUACAAAAAAUACAUGAACAAGAAGUAGAUUCUUUUACAAAAGAUAUAUGAACGGAAGUCAACACAGGCAGAAACAAAUUAGCCAGCAUUUGGGCAGAAACUGGAAAAAUUGGGCAGAAUUUUUGGGCAGAAACUGGAAGAACUGAGCUGAAAAAAGAAAGAAGAAGAGAAGAAGAACUGAAGAAGCUCUCUGAAUUGAAGAAAAAACAGAGAUUUUCUCAGGAUGUUCUAUUGAGUGCAACAAUAGUGAUAAAAAAUAGAACCAAAAAAAGAAAAAAAAAGAAAGAAGAAGAAAAAAUAGCGCAACACAGGCUGUGUUCUGUUGCAGCAGCAACGACAAAAAACAAAGCUCAAAAAAGGAAAGAAGAAGAAGAAAGAAAGAAAAAAGAGAAAAAUUUGACGAAGUAACAGAACAAAAACUCGAAUAAAGAAGAAAGGAGAUGAAGGAAGGAGAAGAAAGAAGAAAAGAGAUGAAGAGAAGCAUACAUGAUGAAGAAACUUGAAGAAUAAAGGAAAUUGCUGGUCUGCUGUCGACUAGAAGGAGAAAGAGUAAAGAAAUAGCGAGCCCUAAUUUUUGUUUUAAUAGAUCGCUGCUGUUGUAUUCUUCUUUUCUUUUUUGCAAAAAAGCGACGCUACAACUCGCUACACGCUACAGAGAGGCAGAGGCGCUCGAUAAUACAUUUUUAGCUUCCUGCAAAAAUUUGAGAAUACAUAAAUCAGUUUUUUUUAAAAAUAAUAUAAUUCAUAAGUCAAAAUUUAAAAUAGUAAUAAAGUAAAAGCAGGUCUAGUAAAACAGGUCCUUGAACACAAUGCUAAGCGUAAUAUCCAAAUCUAGUAAAGCAGUAUGUGAUGGCACAUAAAAGCGGUGCUGAGUUGAAAUAACAUUAAAAGCAAGAAUAAAAGGAGAAAGAAAGAGAGACAAAAGGGAUGUGGGUGGGGAAAAAUAAAUCUGUUUUAGAAGUAUAUUGGAUCUGCCUGGUCUUCUGCAUGAAAACAAAUCUUCUUAGUUUACCUUUGUCAUCUUCGUUUCUCAAUCUGUCAUAUCUUGCAACAUAAGAACCUAAUAUCCUAAAUUUUACUUCAGACUACUCCUAAUAUAUUUUAGUUGUUUGACUAGCCAAUGGCUUCCGCAUCUUAUGUUAGCAAAAUAAAAUCUAAAUACCAACUUUUAAUCUAGACAGGUACUCUUAAAAAAAAUUCUAAGAUCAACUAUAUUGUGCUCCAACUUUUAAUGUUAGCAUUACAAGAAAUAUAAAUUGUGCUGUUGAUAAACAAAUUUAUCAUAUUUCCAACAAAACAUAAUUAAAACAGAGAAAACAAAAUUCUAAGAGGGCACCGGGCUUCCACUCCGCAAGCAUAUCGAGACAAAAAUUCUUAUAUUUUCUCCUCGGACAUUUUACUACAUCUUUUACAAAAAUCUCCUGCCAAGUGAUUAGGUAGCUAAGCCAUAGCGAGAAUAAGGUUCAUCAUUAGCUUCAACUAUACAUGUGUGUGUUUCGGUAUAUUUAUCAUCUAAUAGCUCUUUGUAUUGACAUUUAACUACCAUAUUUUACAUUAAUUUUAAUAGUUAUUCAGCUGUAGUGACAUUAUUCUAAGGUAUGUAUGAACAUGAAAUAUUAGUAGUUUGAAGUAGUAACUAAACCAAAUGCAAUAUAGUUUCAGAAUCUAGAAGAUAAAUGUCAUCACUAGGAUGAACAGAGAUUUUGGGAUGCUUUUCAUAAUGUUGCGGUGCAUAAUGAUGUAGAUAAUUUUAGUUUCAACGAUUUCACUCUCUAGAAGAGGCAUGCAAGUUUCACAGAUACUUGCCUAAGAGAAAAGGAAAUGGAAAUCUUACCCAAUUCAUGUCAAGAGCUUCUUUUAUCACCUUCAAGUUACUUCUUUUCCACUAAUAGUGGGGUUUAGCUGCAAAAAUAAAACAAAUUCAACCAUAAUAUGCUAAAGUAUAUAGCUAACAAUUACUUGUUCCCUUUCUGUAAUGAUGUGAAAAUUUAACAUGGCUUCCUAAAAAUAAAAAUAGCAUUCACUAAAUAGUAUGAAUGCAUACAUAAGGCAAGACUUUUAUAUCAACAAUCUAGAUUAUACAAUAACUUUAUAGUGAACUUCACACUAUGACCUCAUAAGAGAUGGCACAUAUAUCACCCAACGAACAGAUUCAAGAAUUGAGUAGAGGACAAAAACUACAUCCAUACCUAAAACUUGUACAUUCUUUGUUAUGAUAAAAAUAAUAGCAUUUUCAUACACAAAGUUGCAGCCAGAGGUUUAAGAUUAACACUAAUAAGACUAAUAUUAACAUACUUUUCUCUUCUCCAGUCACACCAAUCAUUAAGAUAACAAAAUUUAAUAUUUCCUUGCACAUAGAACAGUUCUACGAGGAAAUACACAUACAAUACAUUUCUAAACUUACCCCUCAACACCCAUUUUAGAACACAAGAGCCAAACAACCAGAAAACCAACAAAAUAAGUAAAAUUCCCAUAUAUAUAUAUAUACAGCAAUUUGCUCUAACUCUCCCAACUUUUAAUUUUUCUAUUUAUGUUUUAGAACAUUGUCGACCUCAACAAUGGAGUUUUGAAGGGUAUUUGUCACUUUAAUUCCUCCCAAACAGCAGUAAACUCAAUAUUCAGUACAAAAUAAACUUCGAAUAAAAUUUUGGCUCAAAGAAUUGAAACCCAAUUUCUCAAACUCCAAUUUUACUAAAACCCAAAAUUUAAGCAAUCUUCUUUGAUUUUUUAUCACAGAUUGUUUCACGUAAAACUCAAAUCUUCACCAAAUUUGAGAUACAAACUUUAAACCACACUAAACCUAAAAAUCAAACAUAAAUUAGAACAAAAUAAAGUAACUUCAUAGAAACCCAUUUGUGUAUUCUUCAAGCUUUUCCAAAAACACUUGAAUGGAAAAUCUAGAGAUGGGGAAUUUAUAAGCUAUGGAGGAGAGCAUGCAGACCUAUUAUGGUAGAGAGCAAUAUGAAUCGAAAUCCUUUGCUAGUCGAAAUCCUUCGGUGAUGGAAAUCCUUCACUGGAUUUGGAAGCCGUUUUUCUCUUGAAGAAGUUGGAGGGUUUUUUGUUCUAGUGAAUCAAUUGAAUAGAAAAGAGGUAAGAAGACCC
RNAcentral lists this long non-coding RNA (4735 nucleotides) under Nicotiana tabacum (common tobacco). Its description in RNAcentral is "long non-coding RNA (NTAB_LNC013258)". The record is from RNAcentral. Lineage: Eukaryota; Viridiplantae; Streptophyta; Magnoliopsida; Solanales; Solanaceae.